RNAcentral lists this ribosomal RNA (253 nucleotides) under uncultured bacterium. RNAcentral describes it as "partial 16S ribosomal RNA". It matches the Rfam family "Bacterial small subunit ribosomal RNA", at positions 524 to 776 of the family's 1533-position model. The record is from RNAcentral.
UACAUGUGGGGCAAGCGUUGUUCGGAAUUACUGGGCAUAAAGGGUGCGUAGGCGGUUUGUUAAGUCACUGGUGAAAGUUUUCGGCCCAACCGGAAAAUUGCCUGUGAUACUGGCGAACUUGAGUGCGUGAGGGGUGGGGGGAACGAGCAGUGUAGCGGUGAAAUGCGUAGAGAUCGGGAGGAACACCAGUGGCGAAGGCGGCCUUCUGGACCAGCACUGACACUCAAGCACGAAAGCGUGGGGAGCAAACAGG